Molecule: ribosomal RNA, 393 nt
Filed under: uncultured Lactobacillus sp.
Lineage: Bacteria; Bacillati; Bacillota; Bacilli; Lactobacillales; Lactobacillaceae
Description: bacterial SSU rRNA
Rfam family: Bacterial small subunit ribosomal RNA
Source: RNAcentral
AACAGAUUUACUUCGGUAAUGACGUUAGGAAGCGGGCGGCGGAUGGGUGAGUAACACGUGGGGAAUCUGCCCCAUAGUCUGGGAUACCACUUGGAAGCAGGUGCUAAUACCGGAUAAGAAAGCAGAUCGCAUGAUCAGCUUUUAAAAGGCGGCGUAAGCUGUCGCUAUGGGAUGGCCCCGCGGUGCAUUAGCUAGUUGGUAAGGUAAAGGCUUACCAAGGCGAUGAUGCAUAGCCGAGUUGAGAGACUGAUCGGCCACAUUGGGACUGAGACACGGCCCAAACUCCUACGGGAGGCAGCAGUAGGGAAUCUUCCACAAUGGACGCAAGUCUGAUGGAGCAACGCCGCGUGAGUGAAGAAGGUUUUCGGAUCGUAAAGCUCUGUUGUUGGUGAA